AGCAACAGCGAGGGCCUCGAACAUGGAGCGUCCGGAGCUCGGUUAUGAGAGCAUGAGCCACUUCAUCGUUGAUACUGACGACCUUGCUGACAUGCUGAGGAACAUCAACUUCUGCUCCAGUGUAGGGGAUGAUGAAGAGGAUCUUGAAGAAAUGGGAGAAGAGUCCGAAUUUGACUUCCGCUCCAGAUGUUAAGACCAAAAGAGAAGUAGCUGAUUGCUCUUGAGUGACUUUUAACUUUCAAAGGUUGAAAAUUUGAGUGAAAAUGAUUCUUUGGAAGGCUACAAGAAGGAGAUACGGCGUGUUUGUUGCAGUGACUCUGGAUCUCCCUGUUGACCUGUAUUGAUGAAUCGAUCAGGGUUUUGCUUGGCCAAGGCUUUGUGGUGUGUUUGAUUUUGGUUUCGUCACACUCCUCACAUUACUUAUUCAGCUUCCAGUGCUCCAGUCAUCAAAUGGUGGAGAGCUGAGAGUUUGCAGAGUUAUAGCAGAUGCCUUUCUUCUUUUCUAAUGUGUUUUCACAAACAGACCGGAUACAGAUUAGACUCCAGAGCCUGUUUGUGAUACUUCGCUUCAGGGACCAUUGUAGAAGGAUUUAAAUUUUUUGAUUUAGUCCUGAAUUAUUGAGCUGUCUACACUUUUUGGUGGGACUGGGCGAUCUGGUAAAAAAAACAAAAACAAAACAGAACACAAAACUAGUUUUCUUUAUUGAAAUCAUGCGUUUCCACAUUAACGAGCACCUUGUGAGGUGCGAACAAAAGGUUCUAAUACUUCACCUAUAACAAGAUAAAGUUUGGCCACUAUCUCCUUUGAAGUAGUCUUCUGCUAAGGUGAUGGUGUUAAUGUUUUAAAUGCUCUCUUAAAGCCCCGUUCUGGCAACUUACAGAUGCACGUGUGUGAUUUCACCAUGGACCUCAGACUUGCUCAGAAAGCAAACAUCAGAUUCUGGUUCAAACUGUGAUAAUCUUCACGUCUAAAGAGCAUCACAGGUGACGGUGGUAGAUGUACAGCUAUCACUUAGAGAGCAAGCAGCUGUCUAUGCAGUGGAAGAGCUUACAGUCUCCAAGACUAAGGAAGGCUCAUUAGGUUGGCAGCAUGACCAAGAGCAUACUUGUUGUUUUGUUUGAUGUUCAGGAGGUUGUGCACCAUGAAUUUGUCCCCAAGGAUCAGAUCGUAUUUCUCCCUGAGGGAGAACAUUAGGUGGAAACAACCUUAAUUGUUCUGCACUUACAGAAAGGUGCUGCUGGGGAGUGUUCCAAAUGUGGCAAGAGCAACAGGAGCAUCUCUGCAUAUUGUGGAUAUUUCAAAGGGGAUAGCAGCCAAAUUUGAAUUAGGUGUGGUUUUUGCUUUGUGUAGGCACUGACUCUGAGCUUCUCGGUUCAAGUCUAACAAAACUAAAACCACCACUAGUAAAGUUAGGAUCCUUUUACAUAUUGUGAAUAUCAUAAAGAAAAACAGCAGGAGCAACUCUGCAACAAAACUGUUUCCAACAUGCCACAAAUAUGUAAAUUAAGCACCGUGUCUGCUGUGAAUACAUACAGGUGAAAGCAGAAAGUGUUUAGCUGUGUUUUGGAAGUGAGAUGGGAAACUGAGGAUUUGGUCUGCUCAACAUCUGAUGAUCCUUUUUCUGUCAUUGUUAUUGGUAAGUGUAACAACACAGACAUAUGAAAUACAUGAGGACAGAGAACUAUUCCUCAGUGCUGGCACAUAGCUCCACAUCACUACUUGUGCAGGUGUCCUUUGAACAGCAGAGGAAGCAACAUUUGACACAUUGUGCAAGAACAAAAAAUCGAGUCAUUUGGACACAUUCCCCAAUCCUGCUCUCAGGUAAAAGUCAAAUCCACAAUUUAAAGAAACUAUUAAUCUUAAAUUCUCCACCUACUGGCCUUUUAGUGGAGAUUUCAAGCCCAUCUCAUUCUUCACCAGCUGUUGAACUUCUUCUCAGAUGUCAUGGGGGUCAUUCACAUCUAACAGUCAACGCCAUCUUUCCACAGAAACUACUUUCAAAAAAAAAUAACAAAAAAAUCUAACUCUUCCUUAGUUUGCUGUAAACAAUUCUCAAUAAAAUGUGGAGUUGUGUAAUUGUAGUAACUUAACAUGUAUUCAUUUAAAUAAAAUUCUAUGGAUAUGAAA
Molecule: long non-coding RNA, 2128 nt
Organism: Stegastes partitus (bicolor damselfish)
Lineage: Eukaryota; Metazoa; Chordata; Actinopteri; Pomacentridae
Exons: 2
Source: RefSeq, a predicted model, not a curated record